UACGUAGGGGGCAAGCGUUGUCCGGAAUCAUUGGGCGUAAAGGGCGCGUAGGCGGCGUGACAAGUCACUUGUGAAAUCUCCGGGCUUAACUCGGAACGGUCAAGUGAUACUGUCGUGCUAGAGUACAGAAGGGGCAACUGGAAUUCUCGGUGUAGCGGUGAAAUGCGUAGAUAUCGGGAGGAACACCAGUGGCGAAGGCGGCGAUCUGGGCUGAUACUGACGCUGAGGUGCGAAAGCGUGGGGAGCAAACAGG
Molecule: ribosomal RNA, 253 nt
Filed under: uncultured bacterium
Lineage: Bacteria
Description: partial 16S ribosomal RNA
Rfam family: Bacterial small subunit ribosomal RNA
Source: RNAcentral